GAUGAAGAACGUAGCGAAAUGCGAUAAGUAAUGUGAAUUGCAGAAUUCAGUGAACCAUCGAAUCUUUGAACGCACAUUGCGCCCGGCAGUAAUCUGCCGGGCAUGCCUGUCCGAGCGUCAUUUCUCCCCUCGAGCGCAGCUUUCCCCCCCGGGGGAGGGCCGCGCCCGGUGUUGGGGCGCUACGGAGGAGCCCAGCGCUCCCCCGUAAGCCCCGAAAUGUAGUGGCGGUCCCGCCGCGGCGCCCCCUGCGUAGUAGUUUUACAACUCGCAUCGGGUCCCGGCGGAGGCCAGCCGUCAAACCCCCCAACUUCAAUAGUUUGACCUCGGAUCAGGUAGGGUUACCCGCUGAACUUAAGCAUAUCAAUAAGCGGAGGA
RNAcentral lists this unclassified non-coding RNA (375 nucleotides) under soil metagenome. RNAcentral describes it as "partial contains 5.8S ribosomal RNA, internal transcribed spacer 2, and large subunit ribosomal RNA". The stretch from base 1 to 120 matches the Rfam family "5.8S ribosomal RNA", at positions 35 to 154 of the family's 154-position model. The record is from RNAcentral.